UCCUACGGGAGGCAGCAGUGAGGAAUAUUGGUCAAUGGGCGGGAGCCUGAACCAGCCAAGUCGCGUGAGGGAAGACGGUCCUAUGGAUUGUAAACCUCUUUAGGCGGGGAGCAACGCCGGGCACGCGUGUCCGGAGGGAGAGUACCCGCAGAAUAAGCAUCGGCUAACUCCGUGCCAGCAACCGCGGUAAUACGGAGGAUGCGAGCGUUAUCCGGAUUUAUUGGGUUUAAAGGGUGCGUAGGCGGAUUUUUAAGUCAGCGGUAACAUGUCCGGGCUCAACCCGGGCCGGCCGUUGAAACUGGGGG
Molecule: ribosomal RNA, 305 nt
Filed under: uncultured bacterium
Lineage: Bacteria
Description: bacterial SSU rRNA
Rfam family: Bacterial small subunit ribosomal RNA
Source: RNAcentral